Molecule: ribosomal RNA, 497 nt
Filed under: uncultured bacterium
Lineage: Bacteria
Description: partial 16S ribosomal RNA
Rfam family: Bacterial small subunit ribosomal RNA
Source: RNAcentral
GAUGAACGCUGGCGGCGUGCCUAAUACAUGCAAGUCGAGCGAACGGACGAGAAGCUUGCUUUUCUGAUGUUAGCGGCGGACGGGUGAGUAACACGUGGAGAACCUACCUAUAAGACUGGGAUAACUUCGGGAAACCGGAGCUAAUACCGGAUAAUAUUUUGAACCGCAUGGUUCAAAAGUGAAAGACGGUCUUGCUGUCACUUAUAGAUGGAUCCGCGCUGCAUUAGCUAGUUGGUAAGGUAACGGCUUACCAAGGCAACGAUGCAUAGCCGACCUGAGAGGGUGAUCGGCCACACUGGAACUGAGACACGGUCCAGACUCCUACGGGAGGCAGCAGUAGGGAAUCUUCCGCAAUGGGCGAAAGCCUGACGGAGCAACGCCGCGUGAGUGAUGAAGGUCUUCGGAUCGUAAAACUCUGUUAUUAGGGAAGAACAUAUGUGUAAGUAACUGUGCACAUCUUGACGGUACCUAAUCAGAAAGCCACGGCUAACUACGUG